AGGACGAACGCUGGCGGCGUGCCUAACACAUGCAAGUCGAGCGGGGACAUACGACGGAGUCAAAGUUUCGGAUGGAGACGAAGAUGUAUGUUCUAGCGGCGGACGGGUGAGUAACGCGUGAGCAACCUGUCCCUUACAGGGGGAUAACACAGCGAAAGUUGUACUAAUACCGCAUGAGACCACGGGAGGACAUCCUCCAGGGGUCAAAGGAGCAAUCCGGUAAGGGGUGGGCUCGCGUCCGAUUAGAUAGUUGGUGAGGUAACGGCCCACCAAGUCGACGAUCGGUAGCCGACCUGAGAGGGUGAUCGGCCACAUUGGGACUGAGACACGGCCCAAACUCCUACGGGAGGCAGCAGUGGGGAAUAUUGGGCAAAUGGGGGAAACCCUGACCCAGCAACGCCGCGUGAGGGAAGAAGGUUUUCGGAUCGUAAACCUCUGUCCUUGGUGAAGAGAAAGAGACGGUAGCCAAGGAGGAAGCCCCGGCUAACUACGUGCCAGCCGCGGC
This 505-nucleotide ribosomal RNA is filed under the name uncultured bacterium. RNAcentral's name for it is "bacterial SSU rRNA". It matches the Rfam family "Bacterial small subunit ribosomal RNA", at positions 26 to 518 of the family's 1533-position model. The record is from RNAcentral.